Molecule: ribosomal RNA, 407 nt
Filed under: uncultured bacterium
Lineage: Bacteria
Description: partial 16S ribosomal RNA
Rfam family: Bacterial small subunit ribosomal RNA
Source: RNAcentral
AUUGAACGCUGGCGGCAGGCCUAACACAUGCAAGUCGAGCGGGGCGGCGGACGGGUGAGUGAGGCAUAGGAAUCUGCCUGGUAGUUGGGGAUGACGUCCGUAAACGGGCGCUAAUCCCUCACACUAUCAGAUGAGCCUAGGUCGGAGUAGCUAGUUGGUGUGGUAAAGGCCUACAAAGGCGACGAUCCGUAGCUGGUCUGCGAGGAUGAUCAGCCACACUGGAACUGAGACACGGUCCAGACGCCUACGGGAGGAAGCAGUGGGGAAUAUUUCACAAUGGGCGAAAGCCUGAUACAGCCAUGCCGCGUGUGUGAAGAAGGUCUUCGGAUUGUAAAGCACUUUAAGUUGGGAGGCGUUACCGACAGAAUAAGCACCGGCUAACUUCGUGCCAGCAGCCGCGGUAAUUC